This 812-nucleotide ribosomal RNA is filed under the name uncultured bacterium. Its description in RNAcentral is "bacterial SSU rRNA". It matches the Rfam family "Bacterial small subunit ribosomal RNA", at positions 1 to 813 of the family's 1533-position model. The record is from RNAcentral.
UUAGAGUUUGAUCCUGGCUCAGAUUGAACGCUGGCGGCAAGCCUAACACAUGCAAGUCGAGCGGAUGAGUGGAGCUUGCUCCAUGAUUCAGCGGCGGACGGGUGAGUAAUGCCUAGGAAUCUGCCUGGUAGUGGGGGACAACGUUUCGAAAGGAACGCUAAUACCGCAUACGUCCUACGGGAGAAAGCAGGGGACCUUCGGGCCUUGCGCUAUCAGAUGAGCCUAGGUCGGAUUAGCUAGUAGGUGAGGUAAAGGCUCACCUAGGCGACGAUCCGUAACUGGUCUGAGAGGAUGAUCAGUCACACUGGAACUGAGACACGGUCCAGACUCCUACGGGAGGCAGCAGUGGGGAAUAUUGGACAAUGGGCGAAAGCCUGAUCCAGCCAUGCCGCGUGUGUGAAGAAGGUCUUCGGAUUGUAAAGCACUUUAAGUUGGGAGGAAGGGCAGUAAGUUAAUACCUUGCUGUUUUGACGUUACCAACAGAAUAAGCGCCGGCUAACUUCGUGCCAGCAGCCGCGGUAAUACGAAGGGUGCAAGCGUUAAUCGGAAUUACUGGGCGUAAAGCGCGCGUAGGUGGUUCAGCAAGUUGGAGGUGAAAUCCCCGGGCUCAACCUGGGAACUGCCUCCAAAACUACUGAGCUAGAGUACGGUAGAGGGUAGUGGAAUUUCCUGUGUAGCGGUGAAAUGCGUAGAUAUAGGAAGGAACACCAGUGGCGAAGGCGACUACCUGGACUGAUACUGACACUGAGGUGCGAAAGCGUGGGGAGCAAACAGGAUAAAAUACCCUGGUAGUCCACGCCGUAAACGAUGUC